RNAcentral lists this non-coding RNA (26 nucleotides) under Bombyx mori (domestic silkworm). The record is from RNAcentral. Lineage: Eukaryota; Metazoa; Arthropoda; Insecta; Lepidoptera; Bombycidae.
CAACUAUUCAAUGUAAUAAUUGCUGC